This 440-nucleotide ribosomal RNA is filed under the name uncultured bacterium. Its description in RNAcentral is "partial 16S ribosomal RNA". It matches the Rfam family "Bacterial small subunit ribosomal RNA", at positions 338 to 795 of the family's 1533-position model. The record is from RNAcentral.
CCUACGGGAGGCAGCAGUGGGGAAUAUUGCACAAUGGGGGAAACCCUGAUGCAGCGACGCCGCGUGAGUGAAGAAUUAAUUCGUUAUGUAAAGCUUUAUCAGUAUGGGAGAAAAUUACGGUAUCUGAGUAAUAAUCCCCUGCUAACUACGUGCCAGCAGCCGCGGUACUACGUAGGGGGCGAGCGUUAUCCGGAUUUACUGGGUGUAAUGGGAGCGUAGGCGGCAGUGCAAGUCCGGAGUGAAAGGCGGGGGCUCAACCGCCAGACUGCACUUGAUACUGGACGGCUUGAGUGCAGGAGAGGUAAGUGGAAUUCCUGGUGUAGCGGUGAAAUGCGUAGAUAUCAGGAGGAACACCAGUGGCGAAGGCGGCUUACUGGACUGUAACUGACGCUGAGGCUCGAAAGCGUGGGGAGCAAACAGGAUUAGAUACCCGAGUAGUC